UGCCAGAUCUUGAUGCAUGCACUUGUUC
RNAcentral lists this non-coding RNA (28 nucleotides) under Mus musculus (house mouse). The record is from RNAcentral. Lineage: Eukaryota; Metazoa; Chordata; Mammalia; Rodentia; Muridae.